Molecule: ribosomal RNA, 496 nt
Filed under: uncultured Lactobacillus sp.
Lineage: Bacteria; Bacillati; Bacillota; Bacilli; Lactobacillales; Lactobacillaceae
Description: bacterial SSU rRNA
Rfam family: Bacterial small subunit ribosomal RNA
Source: RNAcentral
UGCCUUGAAGAUCGGAGUGCUUGCACUCUGUGAAACAAGAUACAGGCUAGCGGCGGACGGGUGAGUAACACGUGGGUAACCUGCCCAAGAGAUCGGGAUAACACCUGGAAACAGAUGCUAAUACCGGAUAACAACAGAUGAUGCCUAUCAACUGUUUAAAAGAUGGUUCUGCUAUCACUCUUGGGAUGGGACCUGCGGUGCAUUAGCUAGUUGGUAGGGGUAACGGGCUACCAAGGCGAUGAUGCAUAGCCGAGUUGAGAGACUGAUCGGCCACAUUGGGACUGAGACACGGCCCAAACUCCUACAGGAGGCAGCAGUAGGGAAUCUUCCACAAUGGACGCAAGUCUGAUGGAGCAACGCCGCGUGAGUGAAGAAGGGUUUCGGCUCGUAAAGCUCUGUUGUUGGUGAAGAAGGACAGGGGGUAGUAACUGACCUUUGUUUGACGGUAAUCAAUUAGAAAGUCACGGCUAACUACGUGCCAGCAGCCGCGGUAAAU